Schistocerca nitens (vagrant locust) is the source of this 513-nucleotide long non-coding RNA. RefSeq lists it as uncharacterized. The record is from RefSeq and is a predicted model, not a curated record. The transcript is spliced from 2 exons. NCBI's taxonomy places the organism in Eukaryota, Metazoa, Arthropoda, Insecta, Orthoptera, Acrididae.
CGUCGGUAUAAAGGCGGCCGCCGAGUCCGCUACCGUCAGUCCAGCACUCGCAGCCCAUCCGCCGCAGUAGCAACCAACCACACACCCGCAAACAUGCGCCACCUGAUCGCCCUCCUGGUCCUGGCUACGGUGCUGCUGGCGGCCGAGGCCGGCUACCUGUACGGCGGCUAUGGUGGCUAUGGUGGCUAUGGCGGCUACGGUGGAUACGGCCGCUACUACGGCUACCGGCCCACCGUGGUGGUGAGGUCGUACGGCUACCGGCCCUACUACGGAGGCUACGGCGGCUACCGCGGCUACCACAGCUACUGGUAGACGGCGCCCUCUACACUGCGCUACACCAAACUACAGUAGCGUCGUACAGCUGCAGCCAUCCCUAUUCCAGCCUGCAGCUGCUUCGGCCCGUGGUCUCACAACACCCCCAAUAAUAUCCAUUCACUGUAUAUAUAUGUAACUCAUAAACAUUUUCUCAUGUGUAUCCUGUAUCUUUCAUCAAUAAACAUCUAUCUUAUAUAA